Molecule: long non-coding RNA, 36445 nt
Filed under: Prunus persica (peach)
Lineage: Eukaryota; Viridiplantae; Streptophyta; Magnoliopsida; Rosales; Rosaceae
Description: long non-coding RNA (PPER_LNC003776)
Source: RNAcentral
CAACACAUCCACACAAGCUCCCAACUUGAGAGUGUCGAUGGGACACGUGUUCUUUGGUGGUGAUGGGGUUGGCACUGGUGUUGGUGGUGGUGGAGGAGGACAUGGUGUCUCAGUGGGUGGAGGAGGCUUAACUGGUACAACUGGGGUAGGUGUAGGUGUUGGUGGGCUUGGUGGUACAACAGGUGGUGAUGGUGGUGGCUUAACUGGUACAACUGGGGUAGGUGUUGGUGUUGGUGGGCUUGGUGGUACAACAGGUGGUGAUGGUGGUGGCUUAACUGGUACAACUGGGGGCUUGGGUACAUAGGGUGGUGGGGGUUGUACAACUGGGGGCUUGGGUACAUAUGGUGGUGGUGGUUGUACAACUGGGGGUUUGGGGAUGAAGGGUGGGUGCACAAUUGGGGGUUUAGGGAUAAAAGGUGGGUGCACGAUUGGGGGCUUGGGGAUGAAGGGUGGGUGCACAAUUGGGGGCUUGGGGAUGAAGGGUGGGUGCACAAUUGGGGGUUUAGGGAUGAAGGGUGGGUGCACAAUUGGGGGUUUAGGGAUGAAGGGUGGGUGCACAAUUGGGGGUUUAGGGAUGAAGGGUGGGUGCACAAUUGGGGGCUUGGGGAUGAAGGGUGGGUGCACAAUUGGGGGCUUGGGGUGGGGUGGUGGUUUGACAAUAGGAGGCUUGGGGAUGAAGGGAGGUCUCACAAUAGGUGGUUUGGGGACAGAAGGAGGUUUUGGUAUAUGGGGAGGAUAUACAAUGGGGGGUUUGGGGCCAUGAGGUGGCUUGGGUACAUGGGGUGGAUGAGGAUGAGGUGGCUUUGAUGGUGGCUUGGGAACAUAGGGAGGCUUUACAUGAGGGGGAUGGGGUGGUUUUGAUGGUGGUUUGGGAACAUAGGGAGGCUUUACAUGAGGAGGAAGAGGUGGUUUUGAUGGUGGUUUGGGAACAGAGGGAGGCUUUACAUGAGGGGGAUGAGGUGGGUGUUUAGGUGGUUUAGGGAUGAAGGGUGGCUUUACAUGAGGAGGCUGUUUGGGUGGCAAGUGUGGAGGGUAUGUUGGUGGUGGACAGUAGGAGUUAGCAAGAGAAGUGAGCAAACUACCCAAAUUCACAAUGAGGACUAAGAGCAAAGCCAGGGUAUAAUUCCCCAUGUUCAAAACUCCACAACCCUCAAAAGAGUUGGGUUGUUUAAGACCGGAUAUUGAAACCCAACACCAUGCAAAAGCCUUCUUAUAGAGAUAUGGUGAGACAAGUUGUGAGUGAGUAUGUACAUAAGAGAGAGAGAGAGAGAGAGAGAGAGAGAGAGAGAGAGAGAGAACACAAUCCUGUACCUUUCUUUGUGGUACCAACUAAAGAUAUAUAAAACUAUUAAUCUCUGUGCAUAAUUAAUUAAUUUGUCAAAUUGCCAAGAUGCACAUUGAAUUGAGGUCUCUCCAAACUCCAAACUUCAACUUGAUCAGUAUCAAAUUCACCACAAACAAAAGGGAGGAAUUGAGUCACUUUCUUCCUUUACAUUCAGAACCAAGUAGGGCACUGCAAUCACUGACUUAAACUGUAGACAAAAGUAUUCAGCUUUUAAGGAGAAAAGGAUCAAGAAAACGCGGUUUUGUGAUAGAGGCAAGUUUUAACAUGUAGUGAGAGCCUUGCAAGUGACUAUUCAACCCGUGAUUGAGGUUUUGAUGCCAAGCCACAUGUGAGGCUUUCAUUGACAACAUUUUCUUGCAUUAAAAAAUUCUAAGGGUACAAAAGAGGCCUUAGACUUUUUCUACUUAAAGCACAUGGUUUUUCCUUUUUUCAUUUUUUGGGGGUUUUCUCCCGAAUAGACGAGUCCAUUAAUGCUACAAUGUUUUAGUCUAAGAAAUAUUCCUAUAUGAAUAGACCGUACAAUUGUAUUUGAGUGUCGGUUAUCUUAAUUUAUUAUUUUUUAUAUAAACGAUAUUGUAUUUUAAUUUAAUCCAUACUAUAAAAAGAAUUAUUUAAAUUUAGAUACAAAAUAAAGAACACAUUUGUUCUAACUAACUUAAUUAAUCCUAUGUGUGCAAUUAUUUUUUACAAUUAAACAACUCGAUUUGAUGUAGGAAUUUUCCUUGUACAAUUUAACUUGCUCGCUUUGCAAUUUCAUUUCAAAAAAGUAUAUGCAUGGCCUAGCCAUCAUGUCUUUCAAAUCAACAGCUCAUCAUAGGGCAUCUUUUUAAAAUGAGGGUAAUGCUGGCUUCACAUGCAGCUGCACAAUAAUUUCAAGAAUUAUUAAUCGUACCUAGCAUUGUUAGCAAGACAUUUAGGGCUGUAAUUAUGUGAAAAGUGAUGUUCGCCGAAUCAAUUAUAUAAGGAGAACUUACUGCAAAACAACUCUGUGUGGAACCCAUCUACUUGUUCUUUGUUUUUUUUAGGUCUGAAGUCCAUCUACUUGUUCACUCCACGCCAUUGAAGUGUAGUCUAUCUAAAAUGGUAAGGGUGCCCUAGUUUAGGCGUAAGUACUAUGUGCAGGGUUUUGGGUUUUUCUUUGUAGACAAAAACCUAGAAGUAUCAUAUCUACAUUGUUCUGACUAUUAAAAAAUUAGACAAAGGGGUAAUGAUUAUGCCAAAAUGAAUUUCAACAUCACUUUCGACCGACAAAAUUUCAUUUGCUUAUAUCGAAGCUCGUAUUGAAAUUUAUUAAUUUUAACAAAGUUAGAAUAUGUCAUCUGUCACGUAAUUUGGUGAAUAAAUUUUAUCUUUCGGUGCCUCUACAAUAUUAAAGCAUCAAAUAGUGCAAAUCAUGACAUCUUAUUUCAACGUUCAUUAACAGACCUUCAUACAAUCAAGGCAUCGGAUGCAAGUAGGGUGGUAGAUUUUUUCCCCUUUUCAACCCAAUAAUAUGAGUUAAAACAAUUAUAUGUGGAACACAAUAACACCGCUUUAAUAAUUCUAUCUAAAAGGGUAUAUGCGACAGCUGGCCAAGAGGUAUAUUCCAUGUACACAAAAUGUUACUUUCAACUACAUGCCAAUAUUUCUACAGCGAAAAUUCCAAAUCAACAUGCAAAGGGAAAAUGAAAUGGGAUGUACUUGCUGUAGUGCCUGUUUGGAUAGAAAGAAAGGAAAAGAAAAGAAAAGAAAAUUCAUUUCUUGGAGAAACCAGAAAUUGAGUUUUUCGUCCUUAUUUUCGAAGUGUCGCAAUCAAGUUUUUUUGAUAUAUUGAUGAGUCAUCCAUUGUAGAAGAAAUGGCAUCCAUCAAAACCUGCCACCAUUAAAAUCCAUGCAAAUCCACUUGUUACAAUUAUAUGAAGUCACUUGUGCAAAGCGACAUAUGAAUUUAAAGGGCGAUAAAGCCGAUGUAAUAUAUGUAGGGUCAGGCUGAGACUACUUUGUCUCCAAAUCUUUAACCAAAUCUAAUUUAACACUAAUUAUUAUUGCUCACUACAUCAAGUAAGAAAGAUUAAUAGUAUUUUUCGGUGUGAAUGCAUAAACGUAUCUGUGGAUUCUUAUUAUUUCGAUGUGAGCUUACAGCUUAGCAUAUUAACCUCACUUCAUAUAAAAAUUAUCUCCAAUCCUGAGGUCUAACUUUAUAAAAAAAAAUGAAAAUGACUUUGUAGGUCCAAAUCAAAAUGCAACGUGCCGACAAACACGGACUUAGUCAAGUUGGUUAAAGUGAAUGUGCUAUUCUCACUUUGCAUUCGAUUUCAAAUUCCCCUCCUUAUGAUUUAGAUUAGAUCUAAGUAAAACAUUGCUUAUAUAUAAAAGCAAUAUGCAGCUGUAUGCAGAAGAUUUGGUUGAAUAAUUGCUCUAUAUAAAAUAAUAGGUAAAGUACCUUGAUUAUCUUUUUUCCAACAACCCUGUUCCCUAUAUCUGCCCAUUGUUUAUAUCAUAAUCAAUCAAUUAAUUGAUUAACAACACCAAAUUCUUGAUACCUUCAGCAAAGACACGAUAUUUUCUACCCAAUUUAGUUUGUCGUUUGAAGAAAAAGAAGAAGGAAAAAAAAAACAUUUAGUUUGUCAGAUCAUAUCUUAUAGCAUGAGUGUUAUAUUUAAAACUAUAUAAGAAGGGGCAAAAUUUGGACAUACUUGGAUCAACUGUAACAAUCAUGGCAGUCCCUCCAAAAUCACAAGUGCCACCGGCAGCCCUGGUGCUCUGCCAGUAGCUGUUGAAGGCGUACGAAGCGUGGGACAACAAUGUGUCUGGUUUAUAGCAGGACCCAUUGGGCUGGAUUGACUUGCAGUCUGCACCAGACCCACACGCAUAGUCCAGGGCCUCUUGGACUAUUGGGCCAGGCACGGCUGGCUUGGCCACACACCACACCGCGCCAGACUGUGGUGGCUUUUUUCGUGGAGGGCUUGUGGGCCCUGAUGGUGGAGGGUAAGCUACAGGUGGGGCCAAGGCUGGUGGGCCUGGGAUAGGCUUGGGUGGGGAUGGAGGAUUUUUGGGUGGGCCUGGAAUUGUGGUGGGUGGGCCAGGUGGGUGAGGGGUGGGCCCAUUUGCAGGUGGUGGUUUUGGGAUGGGUGAGCAAGUGGGUGCAGAAGAUGAAGGGGAGGAGGAAGAUGAAGGAGUAUUUGGUUGAGGUGGGUUUUGGGAAAAUGGUGGAUUUGCACAGUAUGGAGGAAGAGGAACAUUUCCAGGCAAGGGAAGUGGUGCCAGUGAAUCAAAGGGUGGGAAAGAGAAGGGAGGACUUACCUCUAGUGGCUUAACAUUUGAGGAAGGCAAUGGUAAAUCUAACUCUAAGUGAUUUAUUGCUUUCAGCUUCUUCUCUAAUUCUGUGUCUUGGGAUUUUAAGAAUUGUGCAAAAAUUCUUGCAUCUGCUCUAAAACAAAGUCACAUAAUAAGUUGUUAAAAUUGUUCAAGUAGUGUGUCUUUGGAAAACCCAAAUAAAUAAAUAAAUUCUUGCUUACCACAUAAAAUGGAGAAAGUUGUGAAUGAAAUGGAGAUGAUGGCCAAUCUCAUGUAAGACAUUGUGGGCUGCAUCUCUUGAAAAGCCAAUGUGAUUAAAGGCAAAAUACCCAGAAGAAGCUGACUGAAAAUUUUGUGCUUAUUUAAUUCAUCCCUCAAGCAAACACUUGGGAUAAGUAUAUAUAGGCAGAUGCUUAGGCAGGCCAGAGAUGUGUGGGAGUGGUAACAAAAGGCGGUGGCCAUAAAGGAAAAUUAUCAACAUAGAGAGACUAAAGGAGAUUCCUGUGUCACAACUUUGUAGCCUAAGACUCAAAAAUAGUGUAAGAUAUACAACAUGCAGAGGACAAAGGUGAGGGAGAGAGAGACUAGAGAGUGUUGGUUUUGGAGAGGUGUACAAGAAACUUUUCUCCCUUUUUGCAUCUUCCUUUGAAUAUAUUCUUGCUUGGCAGUGGAGAAAUAUGAACAGUGGAGUUUUCUGCACUUUUAUUUGCUUGCUUUCCACUCAAAGUGAAACAAACUUCCACUCUGUUAAAGUAUAAGAGAUUUAGCUGAGUUUGUUACUUAAAUUAUGAGCCUUUGGAUCACAGUCCAAAUGGACAGCUAGGAUGUAUUCUUAGGUGUAGUUGAUUUGUGCCAAGUGUAGCUAUCUCAUAGGGUAGUUAAUGAUUGGUUAGAUUUGCUGAUGUAAGAGAGAAUAUUCUUUUCUUUUACUGUUAUAUUGGUAUGCACAGAUUGUGCAUGACUAAGUGUGAGAAUACAAUCUGAUAUUUUCAUCUUCUUCUUCUCCACGUUUUCUCUCUACAUUUUACUAGAGCUCCAUUCACCUAUAAUCCAAAAACAUGGCAGAUCAUAGUCUGCAAAUGCUAACAUGGUAUCACUGAGCCAGGUUUGAUCGUUUAGCUGGGCGUUUGAAUCUGUGAAGGAAGUGAGCUGCGUUUUCUAUCAAAUCUUGCUCUCUGUGAAAUCUGUGUCUAACAUGGCAGGAUCUGGAGGUGGUGAGCUGCGUGCUCCAAUCUUCAAUGGUGAGAACUAUGAAUUCUGGAGCAUAAGGAUGAAAACCAUUUUCAAAUCUCAUGGGAUUUGGGAGCUGGUUGAGAGAGGAAUAGAAGGCUCAGAUUCGAAGGGAGCUGAUGAAUCUGAUACAAAACAAAAGGAAAAAGAGGAAUCAAGUGGUUCUGGGAAGAUGGCUAUAGCUGAGAUCCUGAUGAAGGAUGCUAAGGCCUUGGGGUUGAUUCAAGGAGCAGUAUCUGAGGUGAUCUUCCCCAGGAUUUCUCAUGAAGAAUCAUCUCAUGGAGCCUGGAACAUCCUGAAGCAGGAAUUUCAUGGUGAUAAGCAGGUAAGAAGUGUAAAACUGCAGGGACUUCGUAGAGAAUUUGAAUACACUAGAAUGAGAGAGGAUGAAUCUCUAUCUGCUUAUCUUACAAAGUUGUUUGAUCUAAUAAACCAAAUGAGAGGUUAUGGGGAAGAACUAUCUAGAGAAAGAAUUGUGCAGAAAAUGUUAAUUAGUCUGCUGCCUGGAUAUGAUCCAAUCUGUUCUGUGAUUGAACAUUCAAGGGAUCUAGAUGUAAUUGAGGUUCAAGAGGUGGUAGCCUCAUUGAAGAGCUUUGCUCAAAGGUUGGAAAGACAUCAUGAGAACAAAACUGAGAAGGCCUUUGCUAGUCUGAGUACAGAUACCAAAUCUGCUAAGGCCACUGGAAAUCAGAAUUCCAAGCAGCAGAAGACUUGGAAAGACAAAGGGAAGAAGUGGGAUAAUAAACCUACGGAUGGAACUAAAACUCCUUGCAAACAUUGUGGGAAAUUGCAUUAUGGAGAAUGUAGGUUCAAGGGCAAACCAAAGUGCUAUAACUGUGACAAGCUUGGUCACAUUGCCAAAGACUGCUAUAGCAAGAAACCUGAACAGCAGCAGCAGCUUCAGUUUGCUACUCAGGUUACUUCUUCACCAACCAUGUUCUAUGCUAACAAUGCAACUGAGAAAAGGUCCAUGGAAGAGGUAUGGUACUUGGACAGUGGGUGUAGUAACCACAUGACUGGCAGAGAAGAUGUUUUGAUUGAUAUUGAUAGGAAUGUGACUGCAAAAGUUGCUAUGGGAACAGGACAGUUGGUUGAUGUUAUUGGAAAAGGAAGCCUGAUGGUUCAAACUAAAAUGGGAAGGAAAUAUAUCAAGGAGGUGCUAUUGGUAUCUGGUCUCAAAGAGAACCUACUCAGCGUUGGACAAAUGAUGGAGCAUGGAUAUUUCCUAAUUUUUGGAGAUAAUAAGGCAGAAGUCUAUGAUGAUAGCUCUCUUUCAAAUCUAGUGGCUAGAGUGGAUAUGAAAGGAAAUAGAAGUUUUCCUUUGAAACUUCAAACAGAUUUACAUAUUGCUCUAACUGCAAGCAUUAACCAAUCAACCUUGCUUUGGCAUAGGAGAAUGGGGCACUUAAACUUGCAGAGUUUGAAACUGCUGCAGAAUGAAGACAUGGUGUUUGGUCUGCCAGAAAUCAAAAAUACAAAUGCAGUGUGUGAAGGCUGUACUUUUGGAAAACACUGCAGGAAGGCAUUUCCAAAAGAAGCAACCAGCAGAGCUACAUCUCCACUGGAAUUGGUACACACUGAUGUGUGUGGACCAAUGCAAACUGUUACCAAAGCAGAAAACAGGUAUUUCCUCACCUUUAUAGAUGACUGUACAAGAAUGUGCUGGAUCUAUUUCUUGAGAUGCAAAUCUGAGGUAUUCACAGUGUUUAAGAGGUUUAGAGCCACUGUUGAAUUGCAAAGUGGAUAUAAGGUGAAGAAACUAAGAAGUGAUAGGGGAGGAGAGUACACCUCUAAUGAGUUCAAUAAAUUCUGUGAUGAAAUGGGAAUGGAGAGGCAGCUUACAGUGGCAUACUCACCACAGCAGAAUGGUGUGGCUGAGAGGAAAAACAGAACCAUAGUGGAGAUGGCCAAGUGUAUGAUGAUUGAGAAGGGCAUGCCACUUGAGUUUUGGGCAGAAACUGUUAAUACUGCAGUGUAUAUUCUAAACCGAAGUCCAACUAAAGCUCUGGACAAGAAAACACCAUUUGAAGCCUAUAGUGGGAGAAAGCCAGGACUUAAACACUUAAGAGUGUUUGGAUCUUUGUGCUAUGCACAUGUUCCAAAUCCACAGAGGCAGAAACUGGAUUCAGCAAGCAACAGAUGUGUGUUUCUAGGAUAUGGCAGCUGUGAGAAAGGGUAUAGACUGUAUAACAUUGCCACUGAAAAGGUGAUUAUCUCAAGGGAUGUGGUAUUUAAUGAAGAAGCUAGCUGGGAUUGGAAUGCAAAGCAAGAAUGCAGUGUUUCAGUGCCAUUUACUGAAGUUGUGUCUGAAAAGGAGAAAGGGAGCAAUGACACAGCUGUGAAGCAAGCAGAACAUUCAGUUGAGAAUGAAUUGCUAACAGAAGACAAUGAAGAAAGAUCUGUGGUUGAUACAGGUACUCAAGAUAUUGACCACACUCCAUUGAGAUACAAAAGUCUUACAGAGAUCUAUGAAAGCUGCAACAUCUGCAUCAUUGAACCAGAAUCCUUUGAAGAAGCUGUCAAGGAUGCAGCAUGGCAAAAGGCAAUGGAAGCAGAACUUGAGAUGAUAGAAAAGAAUGAAACUUGGGAUUUGGUAAAAAGACCAUCUGAUAAACCUAUAGUUGGUGUCAAAUGGAUCUUUAAAGUCAAGCUAAAUCUGGAUGGUUCUGUUCAGAAAAACAAAGCAAGGCUAGUAGCUAAAGGCUACACUCAAAAGCCAGGAAUUGAUUUCAAUGAGACAUUUGCACCUGUUGCUCGGCUUGACACAGUUAGAACACUGAUUGCUCUGGCUGCUCAGAAAAGGUGGAAACUGUUUCAGCUUGAUGUAAAGUCAGCCUUCUUAAAUGGAGUGCUACAAGAGGAGGUGUAUGUGGAUCAACCUCCAGGAUUUGUGGUUCAAGGCAAGGAAGACAGAGUUUAUAGACUCAAGAAGGCUCUUUAUGGUCUCAAACAAGCUCCAAGAGCUUGGUAUGAAGAAAUUAAUUCAUACUUUGCUGCUGCAGGAUUUCAGAAAAGUCCUAGUGAGGCUACAUUAUAUGUGAAAGCUGCAGAAAGUGGAAUCCUAAUUGUUUCACUAUAUGUAGAUGAUAUCAUCUACACAGGAAGCUCUAAAGAAUUGGUGAUGAGUUUUAAAACUGAAAUGAUGAAGAGAUAUGAAAUGACAGAUCUGGGAUUGUUGCACCAUUUUCUGGGAUUGGGUGUGAUACAAGCUGAGUCCUACAUCUUCUUGCAUCAGAAGAAAUAUGCAAGAACACUGUUGGACAAGUUUGGUUUAAAGGACUGUAAAGCAGUGUCAACUCCACUUGCUAUGAAUGAGAAGUUAUCCAAGGAGGAUGGAAGUGAACAGGCUGAUGAAAAGCUGUACAGACAGAUUGUUGGAAGCUUACUAUAUCUGACUGCAACAAGGCCAGAUAUCAUGUUUGCUGCAAGUCUCUUAGCAAGAUACAUGCAUGGACCUACUAAGAAACAUAUGGGAACUGCUAAGAGAGUACUUAGAUACAUUCAAGGUACUCUAGACUAUGGCAUUGCAUAUGAGAAAGGAAAAGAGGCAAUGCUGGUUGGAUAUUGUGACAGUGAUUGGUCAGGCUGUGAAGAUGAUAUGAGGAGCACAUCUGGCUAUGCCUUUCACCUUGGAUCAGGUGUUUUCUCUUGGGCAUCUGUUAAGCAGAGCAGUGUAGCUCUAUCCACUGCAGAGGCAGAAUAUGUUAGUGCAGCUGAAGCUACAGCUCAAGCAGUCUGGUUAAGGUUUGUUCUAUCUGAUUUUGGUGAAGAACAAGUUGAGGCUACAACAAUCCUAUGUGACAACACUUCUGCAAUAGCAAUAACAAAGAAUCCUGUGCAUCAUCACAGGACAAGACACAUAAGCAGAAGGUUUCAUUUCAUCCGAGAUGCUUUGCAAAAUGGUGAGAUUGAUCUGCUAUACUGCAAAACUGAUGAGCAGAAUGCAGACAUCUUCACUAAGGCUUUGGCAAGGAAUAGGUUUGAAUAUCUAAGGAGCAAGCUUGGAAUUAUUUCAGCUAAACACUUAGAAGGGAGUGUUAAAGUAUAAGAGAUUUAGCUGAGUUUGUUACUUAAAUUAUGAGCCUUUGGAUCACAGUCCAAAUGGACAGCUAGGAUGUAUUCUUAGGUGUAGUUGAUUUGUGCCAAGUGUAGCUAUCUCAUAGGGUAGUUAAUGAUUGGUUAGAUUUGCUGAUGUAAGAGAGAAUAUUCUUUUCUUUUACUGUUAUAUUGGUAUGCACAGAUUGUGCAUGACUAAGUGUGAGAAUACAAUCUGAUAUUUUCAUCUUCUUCUUCUCCACGUUUUCUCUCUACAUUUUACUAGAGCUCCAUUCACCUAUAAUCCAAAAACAUGGCAGAUCAUAGUCUGCAAAUGCUAACACACUCUCUCUCUCUCUCUCUCUCUCUCUCUCUCUCUCUCUCUCUAUAUCAGGCUCUACAUUUCUCAGGAAGCUAUUAACUUGUUAUUAAAUGGUUCCUUGGGAUUAAUAUUCCAAAAUAGUUUGACAUCCUUUCCAGCCUUAGCAAUCAUAUUUCACACACUAAUGCAUGUUUUUCAGCUUGAUGUGGUAUUAGUUGACUUCAAUAUUACAGAACUCUUGGUUCAUGCUCAUCACUGAACCUGAAACCUAGGAGUUUUUGUUUGGGAAUGUAACCAGGAAGAUCAAAAUAUACCAAACUUGGGAACGAGAGAGGUGCAUAAAACUUUUGCUCAUCAUCAAAGCUAAAUGUGUCAUCGUAGUUUGAGCAUAUUUCUUACUCUCUAUAUAUUUCAUUGCAGACACACAAGACUUUCAGUUUUAACUAAGAACAACUAAAAAGCCCACAUGAACUCCUUUGCUAGAAUUUGCUGAAAAAGAAAUUGUAAUCUUCAUUAAGCAGGCUUACAUAGGUAAAUAAAUUGUGUAGCUCUUAUUCUUGUUAUUAACUGUUAAAUUAAAAUCUCCAUGUCAUCCUGUUUUUUUUUUUUUAACUGUUUGGCAACACCACUUUGCCAUCCAUAAACUAUAACUAUUCUUCUCCCUAAGGGAAUUUUAUUAGGAAAUUACCCAUCUGGUAUGUAAAUCAUGUUUCAGAGUUCACAUUUAAACACAACCUUUAAACUUGGACAAUAAAUUAUAGGACCGUUGCCAACAACCCGACGCCAUCUAUAACAAGUGUGGCUUGAACUGUUCUUGAAUUUAGAAAGCAAAUUUAAGAAGCUCCAUUACUUAGCAUGUAAGUUUUGUUUCCGAGUUCAAUUGGAAAAAAUUAUGCUAUCGUUGGCAACUGUCCCUUGCCAUCUAUAACAAUCCAGGCUUGAACUUUUGUUGAAUUUAGGAAGCAAUUUAAUUAGCUUCACUACUCAAAAUGCAAAGGAUGUUUUUAAAUUUCAAAUUCAAACAUUAGGAAGCAAUUGAAUAAAUUAUGUGGCUGUUGCAACGGUCCCCUGCCAUAUUCGAUAUCUACCAUGUUUAUCAUUUAUGACCUGAAAAGGCAUAACAGGGCAACUAAGCUGACUCUAGUAUAAAUCUGCUCAAUUGUUCAAGUUAUCCAUCAUAUUGUGUUUGCUAAACCACAGCCUUAUUCAGGACAAUAAGAAAUAUGGCUGCAGACCCUUCCCCAAGGAUGCUAAUCACUCAUAAGGGACCCUGUGUCCGCUACAUUGCUUGGACUCCACUCUUGAAUGGUUUCUGGAAGCUCAGCUUCACAGGUCAUUACAAGCACGAAUCGAAGACUACUUCAGUCGGCUGCAUUUCUGAGAGAUCACAAUGCUGUAUUUAAAGCUGCCUUUGCGCAACAUGUAGAAAUGGUCAGCAGCUUUACAAGGGCUCAGUCGACUGCAGUCAGCUGGGCCCUUGAAUUAGCUAAAGGUGAAGGUGUCGAUUACCUUGAAAUCGAAGGAAAUCAUCCGUUUGUGUUUCGGAUGAUGUGGGGCGACAUCACCAGAACUAGCUCUAUGAUCAGGGGCUUGUUAAUAAAUGCAGAUGUGAUUUAAGACAGAUUAGGAGUGUGAGGCUCCGACAUGUCAACAUGUAUGGUAAUUUGGCUGCGAACUUGCUUGCGAGAAUUUCUUUGCAGCCUCAACAAGAGAGGUCAUGGUUUGGUGACCCUCCGGAAGAAAUAAAUGGAAUUCUAGUGAGGGAUGUGAUCGGUCGUUGGAUCGCUUUCUCGGACCUAUGAGUGAGUCAUCAUUUGGAUGACACAGAAGGACUUCGUGGAUUUCUUUCUUCAAGGAAAAAUCUGUUAAGUUGCUUUUCUUUUUGGUUAAGUAGCAGUUUGCACAUCUUUUAUUUUCAGAAAUGAAAUAUUUUGGAUUAGUGAUGAUUGUGAAGCCCUUGAUUUUUCUAAUCUCUUCCUUAAAGAAUUAAGAUGUGUGAACAUGUAACUACUAAGAACAAAAGUCAUCUGCUUAAUCUCACAUUUCAUUUUCAUUUUCUUCCUUUGUAGUUUAAUUGUAUUCCCUGACCUUUCCGGUACUGACCAUGACCCCUAUCUAUCAAAACCAAGUUCAAAUAAGGGAGAAUUUUUAAGGAGAUAUAUUGAUGACCUUGGGUGGAAUUUUUUCUUAGUAAAACUUUUAUGUGGUUUUACUCAAUAAACAAGUUACUCGUUUUACUCGACUUGAAUUUUUGCCUAUUUUGUCUAGAAUCAAUUACGUUUGAUGAUGAAACCAAUUACCAAAUAGUUCUUAAUCUAGUGAUACUUCUCUUCUCAACAAGUUACAAGGAUUCCGAACUCAAUUUAAUCACCUGUAGAAAUUACUUUGUCGCUGACAUGCCCGUGUGCCUUCAAAUGUUGAGGUCCAUUAGAAAGUGACCGUGCCUUUUAUCAAUAACAAACCCACAUGCCCAACUUGACCAACAAAUAAUAUUUUAAUAAAGUAACCGGUGCCUUUUAAGAAUGUAUUGUGGGAUGAAUUAAUGAUCUACCACAAUUAAAUGCAUUUUCAAAUAGCGAAAUAUUACAACAUCGCAGAGAGGUAUUGCAUGAUCUACCACUCUAGUUAUUCUGUUGCUGCAGUGCAGUGCAAUGCAGGUGUACAACUUAUUGUUCAACAGAAAACACAAAAUAACUUAACUUGAACUAAGUCCAUAAUAUAAAAAAGAUGAAGAGGCCAUGGACUGGAAACUCUGGAUCCAGAUGAUGUAGGGAUCAAGGGGUGUAUGGCCUUGGAAUAAGAUACAGAGGAGCUUUCUUAUGGACUGUGAGUCCGAACACUUCGGUCAUGUUCAAUGUGUCAGCCAAUUUAGUACCACCACUAGGCAACUUCCAAUCGAACCAAAACAGUAGGUUGGCAAGCACAUAUUCAGCUGAAGCAACCGCAAAGGCCAGUCCGGGGCACACCCUUCUUCCACCACCAAACGGGAGGAGUUCGAACUCUUGACCUACCAAACCGAUGGAGUUCUGCUCAAACCUCUCUGGCAUAAACUCUUCUGGCUUGUCCCAGACUCUGCGGUCUGUUUGUAUUGCGAAUGCAUUCACAAACACUUGUGUUUUCGCAGGGAUGUCGUAACCUCCCAAUUUUACAUCUGCAGUUGUUUCACGAGGAAGUAAAAGAGGACCUGGAGGAUGAAGCCUUAGAUUUUCGGUGAUUACACAUGACAAGUACUUCAUUUCCUUGAUGUCACUCUCGUCUACAUAUCCCCUUUUCCCCGCCACUCUUCUUACUUCUUCUUGGACUUUCUUCAUCACCCGUGGAUUUUGCGAAAGCUCAGACAUUAACCAUAGCAUUGAUGUCCAACUAGUAUCACUUCCCCCAACAAACAUGUCCUAAAUCAUGAAAUUAAAUAGCCAAAUCAAUCUUCAUCCAUAUAUAUUUUUAUUAGAAAAUUAGACGUAAAACCAAAAGUAUUAGGGUUUAUCAAUGUGCGCGUGUGUGUGGGUAUGCUCGUGCCUGUUCAAGAUAAAGUAAGUGAAUGAGUAUAAUGCGAGUAUGUAAGCUAGAGAGGGGGGGAUAUAGACCUGCAUAAGUCCUUUGACAUUGAACUCAAAAUCGAGCGAGCCAUCCUCUUCAAGGUCGAGGAGUAAAUCCACAAUAUCCUUCUUACGAGGCUUACCAUCUUUCUGCGCUGCUUUAUGUUCGUCAAGCAACUUAUCAUAAAAUCCAUCCAAUUCACGUCGAAUUGAUUUCAAACGUGCAAUGUAGCCUCUGGCAUGGUCAACCCAUUUCAAAGAAGGGUAGAAAUCUCCAAAGCUGAAAGUCAUCAUCUGAACCAUCAACUCCUUUAUGACCUUUUCAAACCAAUUGUCUUCUUUGUCCUCAAACUUCUGUCCAAGAACGCACCUACAGAUGAUGUUGUUGGAGGUUGACACCAGCAGCGGCCCCAGAUUGAUGGGAGCCCCGUUUGUGCUGGCGGAGGCUUUGCGAAUCUUGCUGACCAGCUCUGCACAUUCUUCCACCCUUGCGUACUGAAACUGCUGCACUCUUUUCACGCUCAGAAGCUCAAGAACAACCACUUUUCGAGCUUUUCUCCAGUACUCCCCGUAAGGAGCAAACGCAACGUUAUAGCCGUUGAAGAACAAUAUAGUUGCAGCUGUAGUUUGAGGCCGGCCAGAGAAACCAAUGUCUUGGUUCUUCAUCAUGUCCUUGGCCAGUUCUGCAGAUGAAACUACCAGCGUUGGAAGUUUGCCAAAGUGCAUGAGCAUUAUAUCACCAUACUUCUUCGACAGAUCACGAAGAGAGCGGUGUGGGAAUUUGCCUAGCUGGUGAAGGUUCCCAAUCAGAGGCAGUGUUGGUGGGGAAGGUGGCAGUUCGUAGUUUUUCCCACUUGAAGAUGAUCUUGUAAGUGAUAACAAAAUGUAUGCAGAAAGCAGGAGAAGAGGAAGCAGGAAAAUAUUGCUCUGAAGCUGUUGCCACAUUUCAUUGAAAAGUGAUAAUGCAGCCAUUGUUCUACUUUUUGCCUUUUGCUUUUGGCUGCUCACAUUAAAUUAAUAUAUGUGCCCUUCUUCUUCUUCUUUGUAUAGAGAAGCUGGCAUUGCAACUUGCAUGCGCCUACAAGGUUAGUUGUGAUCAACUUGUGAUGUCCAUGCCCCCCAAUUAUUUAAUGGGAUGCUUCGAUAUGGGUUCAUUUUUGAGUUUGCACUAUGAAUUCAGUUUAUCUUUCUUUUGAUGUAGAAUUGGGUCCAGCUCAGGCCAGCCAAGUAUGCAAAGCCUUGGCCAUUGUACAGUCAAUCCUCUGAAUUUUAUUAAUUACUGCAAUCAAUAAAUUAAUAUCACAUCUCUACGAUUAAUCUCAAUUUAUUAAAUGCUUUCAAUCUUUGAAUACCUUAUGAUGAGGUAUAUAUGUCUUUGGGUGGUUUGAUUUACCUGCUUUGCAGGUUUGUGUAUACCUCUUUCAUAGGUAAUUUCAUAUCAUAUAUCUCCUCCAUAGGUAAUUAAUAUAUACUUCCUCCAUAGAUAAAUAGCAUUCAGAUGUAUACCUCCUCCAUAGGUAAUUUACCUAUCCAUACCUAAUUAACAUUCAUGUAUAUUCCUAGUCCAUAGAUAAUUAUACCUCCUCCAUAGGACUACAAGAAGAAAAAGAAGGAAGAAGAAAGAUUGUGGGAAAUUUAGUUAUUUAUUUAUUGUAUCAGGGCAUGUUUAUGGGAUUUUCAAAAUUAAAAUGGAUGGACAAGAAAAUAUUUUAUAAAUUCAAAUCAUAAUUAACUAAAAGGUCAAAUAUAGUAAUUAUUGGCCUAAGAUUAAUUUCUCACUCUUUUAUGAAUUGCAAUCAGAAUCAAUAGUUGUAUUAAUUAGCUAAUUAUUAUGAUAUAAAUCAAUCUUCCCAAUUUAAAUCAUAAGGCAUAAUUGGAACAUGAAAAUAAAUGUAAAAAUAAAAAAUAUAUAUGAUUACAUCAUAAAAUUAGAAAAGGAAUGUAAUCCUAUGUGGCAUUAGAAGAGGACUUGGAUUACUAAUAAUACGUGUGUGGAUUGCACCCAAAUUCUACCGGAGAAAUUAUAGAAUGAUAUGGUAGUACCAUGUCAGCGUAUAGUACUCCCAUUUAAAUACAGCCACAUGUCCAUUUUAGAAAAGAAAUUAAUUACGUUUCACAACUGGACUUUUUAGUUUAAUUCUUAACUUUGGAAAUAAAAUUAGAAAAGAAAAAUUAAAAAAAGAAUUUCCUAACAGCCAACUAUCUCCUAACCCAACAACAACCCUAAUCCCAACUACCUGCUAUGAUGGCCACCCCUCUCCUUCCACUAUCUUCACCCCUGAUACUAAUUGUAGACAAGGGAUUUUAGAGGAAGGAGGAUUAAACUGGUAUUGAUGAUGAUGAAAUGGAGUAGUCUUGAUAAUUAAAAAUUGGUUCGUUCUUGAGGGUCUAUAUCUGGGUCUGAAAAUAUUCCAAGGUGGCAGUGGGUUGAAUUAACAUUGUGUAGAGUGUCAUAAGCGAAUUCAAAAAAAAUAUAUAUAUAUAUAUAUAUAUAUAGGGGAAUUAAGGAAGAUGAUGAUAUUAUUGGGUUUGGAUGUUGAUGGUUUUCAUGAGGAGCGGCGAUGGCAGUGGUGAAUAGAAAGAGAGAGGGGAGGAAGAGGAAGAGAGAAGGGUGGCUGCCAUGGUUUUUCUUCGUUUAAGUUUUCUCUUUUUCUAAUUUUAUUUCAAAACUUAAGAAUUAAUAAAGUAAAAAGUCUAGCUGUAAAAUAAUAAUGAAUUUCUUUUAUAAAAUGGACACAUGGCCGUAUUUGAGUGGGAGUACUAUACGCUAAUGUGGUAGUACCAUAUUAUUCUAUAAUUUCUCUAUUAUUAAGAAUUGGACUUAUACCAAAUUAUUUAUUAUUUAAUUAUAUACAAUAUUGAGAGAACUUGUUAGGUUCGUAACUUCACGGCCCUCCUGAAAUGAAUGUUGGGAAAUUACAUAAUGCAUUAAUUGAGCCGUUUUUACCAAAAUAAGGUGUCUUCCAAUUUUAGGUUUUAGCCUAGUUUCUUGUAUAGUUUUGUCUUUUUUAUUUUUAUUUAGUUACGUGCUUCAAUUAUUUUAUUUUUUUAUUUAUAUAAAUGAUAUUGAGGGAGGGUUUUUUCACACAUUGUAAUAUAUUAUGAGAAUUCGAACCUGAGACCAUUGAUUUGCAAGUUAAUGUCAUUUUCCACUGGGUUAGAUCUCCCUAAACCCUAUAAUAAUAAUACUCAAUUUGCCAGCUCCUAUUUAUCAUGUUUUAAUCAAGAUGAUGCUUAUCCGUCGGCUUAUGUGCUUCAUAUCUUGAUUGCACAAAGGGACUUUUUUAUUAUACGAAAUAAGAUAAUUUUUUGUUUUAAAAGUCUUGCUAUUUUUUCUCGUACCUUUCUUUGUGGUACCAACUAAAGAUAUAUAAAACUAUUAAUCUCUGUGCAUAAUUAAUUAAUUUGUCAAAUUGUCAAGAUGCACAUUGAAUUGAGGUCUCUCCAAACUCCAACUUGAUCAGUGUCAAAUUCACCACAAUCAAAAGGGAGGAAUUGAGUCACUUUCUUCCUUUACAUUCAGAACCAAGUAGGGCACUGCAAUCACUGACUUAAUCUGUAGCCAAAAGUAUUCAGCUUUUAAGGAGAAAAGGAUCAAGAAAAUGCGAUUUUGUGAUAGAGGCAAGUUUUAACAUGGAUUGAGAUGCCAAACCACAUGUGAGGCUUUCACCAACAACAUUUUCUUGCAUUAAAAGAAUCUCUAUGGGGACAAAAGAGGCCUUAAGACUUUUUCUACUUAAAGCAUAUGGUUUUUCCAUAUGAAUAGACUAAGAACCAUUCCUAUAUGAAUAGACUCGUACAAUUGUAUUUGAGUGUCAGCUAUUUUAAUAUAUUAUUUUUUAUACAAGUGAUAUUCUACUUUAAUUUAAUCUAUAUUAUAAGAAGAGUGAUUUGAACUCAGAUGCAGAAUAAAAAGCAUAUUUUUUUUUUUUGCGAAAGAAGAGCAUAUUCAUUUUAGUCAACUUAACAAAGCCCAUAUGUGCAAUUAUUUUUCACAAUUAAACAACUCAAUUUGAGGUAGGAAUUUUCCUUAUACAAUUAAAUUGCUUGCUUUGCUGCAUGCAAUUUCAUUUCCAAAAAGUAUAUGCAUGGCCUAGCCAUUAUGUCUUUCAAAUCAACUGCUCAUCAUGGGGCAUCUUUUCAAGAAAUUAUUAAUCGUACCUAGCAUUGUCAGCAAGACGUUAGGGCUGUAAUUAUGUGAAGAGCGAUGUUUGCCAAAUCAAUUAUAUAGGGAGGACCUACUGCAAAACUACUUGUUCUUUGUUUUUUUAGGUCUGAAGUCCAUCUACUUGUUCAGUCCACGCCAAUGAAGUGUAGUCUAUCCAAAAUAGGAAGGGUGCUCCAGUUUAGACGCAAGUACUAUUUGUUUUUUUUUGGUCGAAAGGCGUAAGUACCAUGUGCAGGGUUUUGGGUUUUUCUUUGUAGACAAAAACAUUGAAGUAUCUAAAACAUAAUUGUUCUGACUAUUGAAAAAUUAGACAAAGGGGAAAUGAUUCUUAUGCCAAAAUGAAUUUCAACAUCACUUUCUACUGACAAAAUUUCAUUUGCUUGUAUCGAAGCUUUCAUUGAAAUUUAUUAAUUUUAACGAAAUUAGAAUAUGUCAUUUGUCACGUCAUUUGGUGAAUAAAAUUUAAAAAAAAUGUAGUAAGAUGCCAAGCCACAUAUAGGGAUGGCAACGGGUCGGGUAGGGGUUGGGUAUGACGAUACCAUCCCCGUUCUCGCUCUCCAUCCUCGCCCCUAUCCUUGAACCCAUUCCCGUUUAAUCGGUUUCGACGAAUCCCCAUCUCCGUCCUCAUCGGGGGACUAUCCCUCCUACCCGCCCCGAAUCCCUGAUUUUUUUUGCAUAAAAAAAAUAUUUAUCAUACAUUUUUACAUUAAAUUUUAUAUUAAAUUAUCAUUCAACACAUCCAAAUUAACUAUAAAGUUCAACUAAAAAUCACAUCAAUAUGAAAUUCCAAAGAAAAUUAGGAAGAAUUAUGGGAGGGAGGUUAACUUAGGGUUAAACAUAAAUAUUGUAAUUAUAUAUUUAUUUAUUUAAAUAUAAACAUAUAUAUUUUCGGUUCGGGUUCGGAGAUGGGGACGCCAAUACCAUCCCCUCCCCAUAUUCGUCGGGGAUUUUUCAAGUUCGGGGAUCUCCAUACCCGAUACUCGUUUGGUCUCGAAAUCUCCUCUCUUUUGGGUCGAUGAUAGGGAUGGCAACGGGUCGGGUAGGGGCUGGGUGUGAUAAUACCAUCUUCGUCCCCGCUCUUCAUCCCUGCCCCCGUCCUCGAAUUCAUCCCCGUGUAAUAGGUUUUGGGGAAUCCCUAUCCCCGUUCCAGUCGGGGGACUAUCCCCCAUACUCGCCCCAAAUCCCCAGAUUUUUUUUUUGCAUAAAAAAUAUUUAUCAUAUAUUUUAAUAUUAAAUUUCAUAUUAAAUUAUUAUUUAACACAUCCAAAUUAACUAUAAAGUUCAACUCAAUCAUUCAAAAUCACAUUAAUAUGAAAUCCCAAAGAAGAUUAGGAAGAAUUAGGAGAGGGAGGUUAACUUAGAGUUAAAUAUAAAUAUUAUAAUUAUAUAUUUAUUUAUUUAAAUAUAAACAUAUAUAUUUUCGGGUCGGGUUUGGAAAUGGAGACGCCAAUACCAUCCUCUUUCCAUACCCAUCGAGAAUUUUUCAAGUUCAGGGAUCCUGUACCCGAUACCCAUUUGGCCUCAAAAUCUCCCCCCAUUAGAAUUCGGGACCCACCCUGGCGGGGAUUUUUGCCAUCCCUAGCCACAUGUGAGGCUUUCACUAACAACGUUUUCUUGCAUUAAAAGAUUCUCUAUGGGGACAAAAGAAGCCUUAGACUUUUUCUACUUAAAGCAUAUGGUUUUUCCAUAUGAAUAGACUAAGAACCGUUCCUGUAUAAAUAGACUCGUGCAAUUGUAUUUGAGUGUCGGUUAUCUUAAUUUAUUAGUUUUUAUACAAGUGAUAUUCUACUUUAAUUUAAUCUAUAUCAUAAAAAAAGGGAUUUAAACUUGAAUGCAGAAUGGGAAGUACAUUCAUUUUAGCAAAUUUAACAAAGCUCAUAUGUGCAAUUAUUUUUUACAAUUAAACUACUCAAUUUGAUGUAGGAAUUUUCCUUAUACAAUUAAAUGCUUGCUUUGCUGCAUGCAAUUUCAUUUCAAAAAAGUAUAUGCACGGCGCAGCCAUCAUGUCUUUCAAAUCAACUUCUCACCAUAGGGCAUCUUUUCAAGAAAUUAUUAAUCGUACCUAGCAUUGUUAGCAAGACAUUAGGGCUGUAAUUAUGUGGAAAGUGAUGUUUGCCAAAUCAAUUAUAUAGGGAGGACCUACUGCAAAACGACUCUGUGUGAAACCCAUCUACUUGUUCUUUGCUUUUUUUUAGGUCUGAAGUCCAUCUACUUGUUCAGUCCACGCCAUUGUAGUCUAUCUAAAAUGGGAAGGGUGCCCCAGUUUAGGCGUAAGUACUUUUUGUUUUUUUUCGGUUGAAAGGCGUAAGUACUAUGUGCGGCGUUUUGGGUUUUUCUUUGUAGACAAAAAUAUUGAAGUAUCUAAAUCAUAAUUGUUUUGACUACUGAAAAAUGAAAAAUGCUAGCAACCUUCUUUCUAACAUUUUCUUUUGGACAUUUUCUUUUCUUUGCUUGACAUGUGUCAUUCUCCUUACACUUAAAACAAUGUCAUUAAUAUAUUAUACAAGCUAACUUUUGCUUUUCAAGUUUACCCUUAUUAAAUGUAUUUAAUUUAUUCAAAAAAAAUUCAGAACUUUCUUACAAUAUCUUAACAUUGAAGUAUCUAAAUCAUAAUUGUUUUGACUAUUGAAAAAUUAGACAAAGGGAAAAUGAUUCUUAUGCCAAAAUGAAUUUCAACAUCACUUUCGAUCGACAAAAUUUCAUUUGCUUAUAUCGAAGUUGGCAUUGAAAUUUAUUAAUUUUAAAAAAAUUAGAAUAUAUCAUCUGUCACGUCAUUUAGUGAAUAAAAUUUUUUAAAAAUCUUUCGGUGCCUCUAUAUUAUUAAGGCAUCAAAUAGUGCAAAUCAUGACAUCUUAUUUCAAUGUUCAUUAACAGACCUUCAUACAAUCAAGGCAUCGGAUGCAAGUAGGGUGGUCCCUUUCUCAACCCAAUAAUAUGAGUUCAAACAUUAUAUGUGGAACACAAUAACACUCCUUUUAAUCAUUCAAUCUAAAAGGGUAUAUGCGACAGCUGGCCAAGAGGUAUAUUCCAUGUACACAAAAUGUUACUUUCAAUUUCAACUACAUGCCAAUAUUUCUACAGCGAAAAUUCCAAUUAAACAUGCAAAAGGAAAAUGAAAUGUGAUGUGAUGUACUACCUAGGGCUCGUCAAUGAGCCGGGCUGGGUUAGCCAGGCCCAAAUUUAAUGGACUUGAGUCAGACCGGAAUUUUUUAGAAAAUUCAAAACCCAAGUCCGACCCAUGAACCGGACUUGAGAAAGUCCAUCGAACCAAGCCAAGCUAAGCCCAACAGGCAGGGCCUAAACAGGCCCUACUUCAUUAAAAAAAAUCGUAAACUUAAUCAUAAGGACAUUUUAGUCCAAAUUUGAGAUUAAACUCACUUAAUUCCAAUAUUUUCACAUCAAAUCAAAUUCAUAAAACACCCAAUAAAGUCAUACAACUUAUAAGAUUUUCCACAAAAAUAAUAAAACCAAGUAUUAUUUUUGAUGUUAUUACAUAAUUAGAUCGUAAUACGUUUUAAGAAAUAAUUUUAAAAAAUAAUAAGUAUCAAAAAAAUAUUUUUUUAAAGGAUGGUAUGAAUAAAUAUGCAAAUAUUUGGUGAUGUGUUCAAGAAAAGCAUGAUUAUAUUUGGUGGUACGAUUAUGUUUCGUGAUAUGAUUAUAUUUGGUGAUGUGAUAUGUUGUUCAUCUUAUUUAUAUAUAUAUAAUUGUUGAAUUAAUAAUUGACACAAAUUAAUGUGCUAAUCAUCCAAUUAUAAACUAGGAAUAAGUAAAUAAAAGUAAAUAAAAUGAAACAAAUUAUAUAUGUGAUUUAAGUGAUAUAAUCAUAAACCUAAACUCUUAAUUAUAUAUAAUUAUAUAUGUAUGCGGGCCUAACGGAUCGGGUUUUUGUGGGCGGGCCGGGUCGGGCUUUCUUGGGCUUAAUUGGACCGGGCCUAUGAGUCGGGCCGAGCUUUAGACACCCAAGCCCAAGCCUAGCCCGGCCUAAGGCGGGCCGGGCCAUCUCAAAGCUCAUAACGGGCCAGGCCGGGCUUUUUUUCGAUGGGCCGGGUGAGCCCCCAUCAGCCCAUGAGCCUGCGGGCCAAAUGAUGAGGCCUAGUACUACCUGUAGUGUCUAUUUGGAUAGAAAGAAGAAUAGAAAAUUCGGUAUAAGUCCAAUUCCUAUGAUAGAAUUUGGGUACAAUCCACAUAUUUGUUGUUAGUAAUUUAAGUCCUCUGACUUUUGUGCAAUGUAGGAUUACUUACCUCUUUUUUUUUUCAUUUCUAAGGUUUAUAUUUUAUUUUCUUAAUUUUUUAAUUUAUGUUGUGCUUCCAAUUUUGCCCCUAAGAUAGAAAUCAAGUAACCUAAAACAGUAAAAUAUCAAAAAUCGCGUUAAACAAUCCUCAUACGACAAGAAUAGAAAGAAUCGCAAAAAUCGUAUCUUUCACAAUCAAUUAUGGUCCUGUCAAGCCGUUUCUGUAAAUUUCAUGCUUCUUAAUUGCCGAGGGUUUUGGGUUUCAUUUUAGAGUUGAAUUUGCAUUUCGUCUUCUUCAAUUGCAGCCGGGGGAAUUUGCCGUCAUUUGGGGAUUCUCACCUUGCUUCUCCAUCAAUUGCAGUGCCUGUGUUCCAGGUACACUAUUAGAGGUUACCUAUGCCAUAGGUACACUGUUAGAGGUUGCCUUUAGCUGUGGAAUUAUGCUGCUAGAGAUGCAAUUAGCAAGGCUAAAACCAUGGAAAUAUGACUUCUAUGUACUAGCCAUAGCUGUUUGACUCGGCUAACCCAUUGCUUAUUCAUAUCAGCACGAUUAUUUAGAUAUCUAUGUCCAGUUCCCUUUUUAUACAUAUGACUUAUGUAAUGAGAAGUCUGCUAUUUGUAUUGUAGAUUAAUCUUAACUAAAAGCAUCUAAAAACCCAGCUGGAACAGCAGAAGUUCGCUCCUAACUAUUUCAUUUGGUGAUACAGUGUUUGAUGCAUGGUAUGUUAUAGGUUAUUUAUCAAAUUCAUAAAACUUUCUAAAUGUAGAAGCUUUAGAGGUGAUCGUGAUUGCGUGAAUUCAUUUGCUGUUUUUGGCUAGAGUUAUGAUUUGUACUAGCCCAAAUGUUUUGUGUGCAAAUGUCAUGAUCUGUACAUAUAUAUUGCAUUUAAUUUUUCCUCUCUCCCUCCUUCAUGUUAAUGACUUAAGAUUAUACUUGUGAGUUUUACAGUCAUGUUCUUGUUUUGUCCAAGCAGUUAUGUAAAUCUUCAUUUGUGCCUUCAUUAUUGUAGGGCCUUUUUCGUUCCGGCAACUACUGAUGGGUCUAGGAUGCUGUAAAGAGCCAAAUGUGUGAAAUUGUCCAGAGUCUAAGUUUAAGAAUCAGACCGUAAGAGUGCUUCGAAAAGGUAGCUGAGCCUUAGGAAACACCUUGGUCUUCUUCACCAAUGAAACCAACAGUUGCUUACAGAUAAAUUCUUGGCUUAGCUUGAGAAGCUUGUGGCAUGAAAGCUAAACAUUCAUGAAUUUAGCAUGAGAGAGAGAAAGUGUAACAUCUAGAAAAAAAAAAAAAAAAAGAAGAAGAAGAAACCUGUAAGCCAAACAUUCAUUAUUCCAUUCAUUCUUCCCCCUCUUCCCUUAGAUUCUCUUCAAAAAUCUGAUUUUGGGAUGAGUUGUUCAUCUAUUUGGGGUGAGUCACCUAGUCUAGGUUAAGGAUAUUAAUUUCUUAAACAAAGAUAAGAUUGGGGAUGAAGGGGAUGAAGGAAAUGAAAUUUGGGUGAGGCAGAGAAUGGAGAAUAGGGGGAAGAGAAGAAAAAAUUCUCUAAGGUGAGUCAAUUUAGAAUUUGUGAUUUUUAACUUUGUGUUUGUGUGUUUCUAGUGCCUUAAAGAGUAUUUUGAGUCAUUUGAGUGAUGGGGAAAUUGAAUUGGAAGAGUUUGAAUUUCUAUUUUUGGGUAGGGUGCGUAGAGUAAUUUUUCAAGUGUGGGUGUUUAUGAUUUCGGUUUCAUUUUGAGUUUUUUUAUGAGUUUUAAUGAUAGGUAUGAACUUUAGAAGAGUUUUAGAAGCUAUAGGAACAACUUGGAAGUGAUAGAAUGGUUAAAAACAACUUAGAACCAAAUCUGAAAAUUUGGAUUUUCUGGAAAUUUGCAGUCCUCGAGCCUUAUUUUGGCUCUAUUUUUCUCCCAAUCCUUUGAGUGUUUGAGGAAGACAUUUGUUGGGUUUUAAACUAGACUUGGCAAGGAACAAAACACAAUCGGUUUUGUGGAAUUUGGUUGAGUUUUUAUAGGUCAAACACAUGUGCAUAGUUUGGAAAACAAAUCUGUUUUCUGCAAAAAAAACAGCCACGAGUCCAACUUUGGAGCUAGUUUUCUCAUUCGUUUUAUCUCCUUUUGAGUAUGGUUUGUUGGGUUAGAAACUAGAGGAAAUAAGCUUCAAAACCACUACAAGUUUGCCCAAUUUUGUUAACGUUUGGCUGGUCAAAAUGUCUCACAAAGUCUGAAUUUUUAAUCUGGAAAAACGGGAAGUUGCAGAUUUUUAGGGAAGAUGAUGAACAGUAACCGAAAACAAGCCCACUCGCCACUAGCGGACCUAGUAAGGCGUAAGGAGGUGCAGAUGCACCUUCCCUCGCCGUAAAACCAUUGUAUGUGCUUUGCCCCUUUGCUCAACUGGUGUACAGAUUACCUUAUUUUCAUUUUCAACAUUUAAGUAAAUGUCUUUGUCCUUUUACUUUUAUAUAUUUUUAUAUUACUCAAUUUACUUAAGUUUACAAUGUAAAUAAGGAAGUACUCCCCAUUUGAAUUCAAAUAAAAAUACUAGAAAAUCAAAUUCCCACCAAAUCAAAAUAUGAAAAUUCGAUUUUAGUGCAAAAUAUGAUUUAGGCUAAAAAUGAUAGCCUAAAUCAAGUUUUCUAUUUGAUGUGUAAGGAAUAAAAGCCACCAAAAAUUAUCUUGAGAAAAUGAUUAUUCCGAAAAACCAUUUUUCAUACGUACUCAAUAUUACACCUCCGCUAAAAAAUUUCUGGGUCCGCCAGCGCCACUCGCGGCUCCAGUGAGUGGCGGCACGUGGUGGCUGUUUCGGCAGCCUCCGACGCCAUAUUUUUAGUCCAUUCGACUCGAUUUCUCAAUUUGCGUUCAAUGGUAUAUGUUUUGAGUCAAUCCAUGGUGGUGCAAAGUAUGGAUUGUUGUGGGGCCCACGAGACCCAAACUAGUAACUUUUGGAUAACGGGUGUAGUUGGCCUUUUUUCGGUAUUGACAGGGCAUAGGACAGAGUUUUAGAUUAUUUUGGACGAGAUUUGGCCUCUUUGGACCCCGGGUUGGUCCUAAGGGCAUUUUCGUCAUUUUCACGCAAAAUCUUUGAAAUGCAUAAAGUUGAGGUUGGACUUAGGUGAAAUAAAGUGAAGAUUACUCAAUAAUAAUUUGGAUUUGAAUUUGUUCAGGAAUUAGAUCAAAAGUGUAGAUUCGACAAUUCCGAGAAUCUCCGAAGGGUAAAUUUGGUACUUUAGCUAGUUGGACAUGAGGUAGGGUUUCCUGAUUCCCGAUGAUUGGGCUAUAUCCCUUUUAAUCUUGGUGCUUAUAUAUAAUACUAUAAAUAUGAAUAUUAUUGUUGCUUUACUCGGUGAAUAUUAUUUGAUGUUAUGUGAAUAUUAUUAUUGAUGUUCCUCCAUGGAUAUUAUUUUUUAUGUUGGAUGAAUAUAAUUAUUCAUGUGAUUAAGCCUAAUAUAUAUUAUUGUUAUUAUUUGUGUUAUUAUUCUGCAGAGAUAAAUGAGGUUUGCACUGCAUUACAUAUGCAUCAUAAAGAUAGUGGUGUUUGGGGGUGUGUGUGUGUCGUUUGAGGUAUAUCUAAGGGGUGGGAGAAGGCCUUAAAUAUAUCUGAGUAAUAAAAAUGUGAAAUAAAUUCAAGUGAUGGGAGUAGGACUUGAAUAUUGAGGUGAUGGGAGCAGGGCCUCUAAUGAAAAGUGAAAGUUGAGAAAUUCGUAAACAAAAGAAAACUGGGUUAAGGGAUGGAUGGGCGCUAGUUCAUAUUUUAAGGGUAUUCGGAGCCACAAUGGUAACAUGCAUGGUAUGGGACAUGCAGGCUUGUUGCCCUAAGGUAUGAAUUAGUAGGAUUAGAAGGGAGUGAGUUCAUGGCAUCACUGCAUAUGCAAAUUUAUUUAUCUAGUAUGGUUGUAUAAUUUCUGUAUCUUGUGUUGUUUGUUGUAUGACACUUUGAUUAACUAUGAUAGUUGACCUUGAGGGGUUUGACAGUACUCUAUUGGGUAUUAGAAUGCUCAUACCCUAAUAGAUUGUGCAGGAUUCAAGGUGAAGUUUGAGGAAACGGGUUUCAACCAAGCUACUAAACUUUUGUUGUUGAUUUGUGUAAUUAAUAAUUGUAAGUAGUCAACCAUUUGAUAAAGAUCUUAGUGUGUAUUUAACUACGAGCUACUGCGACUCUGAUUCUGUGUUAAGUAAAUUUGUAUUCAUUUGUGGCUCUUUUUCUCAUUAUAUCAUGAUUGUAGGAUUUUAUUCUUAUGACUAUGGUAUGACUCACACCCUGAUUCGGGAAUAUUCCUUAUUUUCGAAUCGGGUCGUGACAGAAAGACCAGGUUUUCUACGAGAAACAGAGGUUAAAGCAAAGGAUUUCGUGAGAAUUUGCUUAGGAGAACUGCAAAUUCUACUAAUCUCCACAGUAAGGCUAUUAUUAACAUUUGGAGAGUAGAAAAUUUGAGACUUCUCAAAACUUAUAACCUGGCUAGAAGCUAGGCAAAAUCUAUCAAGACAUCUGAUUGGGGGUGGUGAAAAUUCACCUAACCCGAGCACCUUUCGAAAAAACAAGCUCCGAGCAUGAAGAAUGGCAGCCGGGCUUAAGGAGUUGCAGCCAGGCUUGAGUAGCGACCGGCCUGAAGAAGUAUCACGGCCGACCUUGGAGAAGUUUGGCGGUCGGGUCUUGGAGUUUUCGAGAAGAACGGUCGGGCGUGAAGUUUGGCCACCGGGAAAGAAGUUUGGCAGCCGAGUCUCCAAGAGCUUGGCUGCCGAGUUUGCAUCAGCUGGAAGUUGGAGUGGCAGCCGGGCUUGGAGCAGCUAGAAUCUAGAAGAGCUGCAGCCGGGCUUCUAGUGGCCGAGGCCAUUGGAGCUAGAGUGGCCGGAACCCAGAGCUGGUGCUGGGCUGAAGAAAUCCGGAUUGUACUCAAUGCAAUCGGUUUGUGGCUUUGAGGAGCUGUAACAUUACAGCUGGAAAAGUAUGGUUAGAGAGAUUUUAGUUGGAGUACUCUUUAGUUUAUAUAUAUAUAUAUAUAUAUAAUAAAAGUGAGUGGCCAUUUAAUAGGGUUGGAGGUUUGAAAGUAAUUUGGGCCUUUAGAACUCAAGAGCUCAAAUCUCAUGAGGGUCAGCCCCAUAUAAUUCCAUGGAGCCCAGAGGUCCAAGCCUAAGCCACGGAAUCACGCCCAAGAUUUCCAGACGUCAGUGUGCACGUGACGGAAGGCCUCACAAAGAAAGAAAUCAAAGAGGUUGAUGACAAUUCAAAAUUUUCUAAAACGAGAGAAAAUCAAGCAACCAUAAUAUCUCUGCCAACGUGAUUCAUAGCUAGAAAGGAAAGAAUUUUAAAAGAGUUGAAAUUUGGCCAUUCAAUGGCUAGCUCAUGCCAAUGGGCACCCUAUAUAAACCUCACCAAACGAAGGUAGAAGACACACAUCAUUAGACACAUAAAUCUAUUUUUCGUCUCACACUUUUCUUUUCCUAGAUUUAGGGUUUUACUUUUCAAGCGCCUAGUGUAGCGAGUUCUUCCUUUUUUCUAGUGUAAGUUUAAAUUCUUGUUCAAUUUACAUUCCUUGUCUUUUAAAUUCUAGUUUGUUUCAAUUGCUUUACUUUUCAUUGUUAUCGCACUUUCAUUAAGUUUAAUUUCAAGUUUAAUUUAGUUUGUCGUUCUUAUUGUUCUUAUUUCUUUCUUGUUUAUUUAUCACCUUGAUAUAUUUUAUCAUACUUUAAUUCUCGUCUUUACAUUAUUUAUUUUACGCACUUUACUUUACUCAUUUAUCUUUAAAUUAUAUUUAAAUUUAAGCAGCUUUACUUUAUGCACUUGUUCUUCGUUUCAUUACGUUGACCUUCAAUCUUCAUCUUCACACACUCCACGUCCUUUGGUUGCUCACAUAAAGGCUUGACCCCGAAGUAGUGAAAGAACUUAUGCCAUGAGGAGGUUCUUUGCUCGGCCGAACAAUCGUUUGAUUAAAGUCAGAUCUCGGACACAACAUGCACUCACAUUCCAUUCAAGCCAAAUUCGUGGCUUGGUGGUAGCACGCCCUGCACUCAAAAAAGAAGAAGGACCAAAAGUUCCUUCCAUCGGCCGCCUUGGCCGAAAAGAGGGAAACAACAUUGCUUCAUCACUCUAGCCUGUCUUGUACUAGCUUUAGCAAAAAAGAGCAGAUCAUCCGCAAAACACAGGUGGGAGAUCUUAGGGCCAUUUCUAGAGAUAUUUCCUAAAAUAUGAGAAUUAUGAGAGAAUAUUUCUUUGUGGGUAUUUUCUAUGUAUUCUUCUCCUUGUAGGAGGUCAUAUUUAUAAUACAACGAAACCUGAAUGGGCAAGUAAAUAAUAAAUUCCUAAAUCUAUUUAGAGUAGGAAAUUAUGAAUUAAAGUAAAUCAAUUACAAUUAUAAUGGGAAUUCUUGGUGUGUAAGGAAAGUAAGUCAAUAGUCCAGAAGUCACGCCAACACUCCCCCUCACGUUGGUGCAUAGAUGUCGCCAAUGCCCAACUGAUCCAGUGAAUUGUGGAAUACUUUACUGAAAAUUGCCUUUGUCAAAAUAUCUGCCAAUUGAUCCUCGGAUAUUUUGACAAAGUGUCGAUCCACGAAAAGAAACUGAAACACUUUAGCCUCAAGCUUUUGUUUGAUAAAGUGUCGAUCCACCUGUGUUUUGGUGUGUAAGGAAAAUAAGUCAAUAGUCCACAAGUCACGCCAACAAUAUUGACAGCUCUCCACUCUUUCUUGACAACAGCCUCACUAAUCAUGUGAGAAAGUUUCUCAAGACACCAAAAACAAAUACGGUGACAGGGGAUCCCCCUCUGUCUCACUCCUCUUGCAGGAACAAAAGGCGGGGUAGCUUCACCAUUCACAAGAAUCUGGAACUAAACCGUGGAGACACAUUGCAUGAUCAAUUGGAUUGUAGACUUAUGAAGAUUGAUCUCUCUAAGAACAUACUCCAGAAAAUUUCAGUUCACUCUGUCAUAAGCUUUAAAGAUGUCAAUUUUCCAAGUGAUAAAACCUUUUUUCACUCAAAGAAAAAACAAACUUCCACUCUCUCUCUCUCUCUCUCUCUCUCUCUCUCUCUCUCUCUCUCUCUCUCUCUCUCUGUAUAUCAGGUUCUACAUUUCUCAGGAAGCUAUUAACUUGUUAUUAAAUGGUUCCUUGGGAUUGAUAUUCCAAAAUAGUUUAACAUCCUUUCCUGCCUUAGCAAUCAUAUUUCACACACUAAUGCAUGUUUUUCAGCGUGAUGUGGUAUUAGUUGAACUUCAAUAUUACAGAACUCUUGGUUCAUGCUCAUCACUGAACCUGAAACCUAGGAGUUUUUGUUUGGGAAUGUAACCAGGAAGAUCAAAAUAUACCAAACUUUUGCUCAUCAGGUAAAUAAAUUGUGUAGCUCUUAUUCUUGUUAUUAACUGUUAAAUUAAAAUCUCCACGUCAUCCUGUUUUUUUUUUUUUUUAACUGUUUGGUAACACCACUUUGCCAUCCAUAAACUAUAACUAUUCUUCUCCCUAAGGGAAUUUUACUAGGAAAUUAACCAUCUGGUAUGUAAAUCAUGUUUCAGAGUUCACAUUUAAACACAACCUUUAAACUUGGACAAUAAAUUAUAGGACCGUUGCCAAUGACCCGACGCCAUCUAUAACAAGUGUGGCUUGAACUGUUCUUGAAUUAGAAAGCAAAUUUAAAAAGCUCCAUUACUUAGCAUGUAAGUUAUGUUUCAGAGUUCAAUUGGAAAAAAUUAUGCUAUCGUUGGCAACUGUCCCUUGCCAUCUAUAACAAUCCAGGCUUGAACUUUUGUUGAAUUUAGGAAGCAAUUUAAUUAGCUUCACUACUCAAAAUGCAAAUUAUGUUUUUAAAUUUCAAAUUCAAACAUUAGGAAGCAAUUGAAUAAAUUAUGUGGCUGUUGCAACGGUCCCCUGCCAUAUUCGAUAUCUUCCAUUUUUAUCAUCUAUGACUUGAAAAGGCAUAACAGGGUAAUUAAGCUAACUCUAGUAUAAAUCUGCUCAAUUGUUCAAGUUAUCCAUCAUUGUGUGUUUGCUAAACCACAGCCUUAUUCAGUCGGGACAAUAAGAAAUAUGGCUGCAGCCCCUUCCCCAAGGAUGCUAAUCACUAAUAAGGGACCAUGUGUCCGCUACAUUGCUUGGACUCCACCCUUGAAUGGUUUCUGGAGGCUCAGCUUCACAGGUCAUUACAAGCACGAAUCAAAGACUGCUUCAGUCGGUUGCAUUAUGAGGGAUCACAAUGCUGUAUUUAAAGCUGCCUUUGAAUUAGGAGUGUGAGGCUCCGACAUGUCAACAUGUAUGGUAAUUUGGCUGCGAACUUGCUCGCGAGAAUUCCUUUGCAGCCUCAACAAGAGAGGUCUUGGUCCAGAACAAAUAAGUGGAAUUCUAGUGAGGGAUGUGAUCGGUCGUUGGAUACCUUUCUCAGACCUAUGAGUGAGUCAUCAUUUGGAUGACACAGAAGGACUUCGUAGACUUGUUUCUUCAAGGAAAAAUCUGUUAAGUUGCUUUUCCUUUUUGCUAAGUAGCAGUUUGCUUAGUAAUGAUUGUGAAAAGCCUUUGAUUUUUCUAAUCUCUUCCUUAAAGAAUUAAGAUGUGUGAACAUGUAACUACUAAGAACGAAAGUCAUCUGCUUAAUCUCACAUUUAAUUUUCCUUUUCUUCCUUCGUAGUUUACUUGUAUUCGCUGACCUUUCCGGUACUAACCAUGACCCCUAUCUGUCAAAACCAAGUUCAAAUAAGGGAGAAUUUUUAAGGGGAUAGAUUGAUGACUUUUGGGGGAGUUUUUUCUUAGUAAAACUUUUGUGGUUUUACUCAAUAACCAAGUUACUUUUUUUACUCGAUUUGGAUUUUUGCCUAUUUUGUCUAGAACCAAUUACGUUUGACAGGGAAACAAUUAUUAAAUAUUUCUUAGUCCAGUAGUACUUCUCUUCUCAAUAUUAAAAGAGAGUCGAAGUUUGAAUCCCUUCCCUAUAAACCAAAAAAAUGAUUAUUCCUGAAGCACUGACACUUUCUCAAGACUAAGCAUAUGAUAUGCGAAAUUACUUACUGACUAGGAUCUUGAUUUCUUAAGAACAAAAUGGAAAUUAAAAACCCAAAAAGCAAAAAAAAAAAAAAAAAAAAAAAAAAAAAAAAAAAAAAAAGAAGAAGAAAAAGUUAGCUGGGAGAUUAUCUGGGCGUUAAUAGAACCAAGCCAGUGGGCCAAAUCAAUCAUAUUAGAUUAUUUUGGGCCUGGGCCCGAUUAAAAAAGAUUUGGUCAGACACAUCACGUUUGUUUUUGGCCGUUGGACAUCAUAUUCAGAUGUUAUUAUAGUCAAAAGACUUUAAGAAAACACUAACACCCAAGCCAACGGUAACUUUCUUGUCUCUGUCUUCUCCUUCCCCUUUCUGUCUUCCCCUUUGCUGCUCCAAAUUCCAAUUAAAACCCCAAAACCAAACUUCACCAACACAAAAGUUCUUAGCUUUACAUCACAAAUGGCAUUAAAAGAAGCAGCUUCACUCACUUCACUGAAACAACAAGAACAAGAAGAAGAAGAAGAAAGAGAGAGGUUCAUAGUUUUGAGCAGCACUUGCAAAGUGGUGGAGUAUUUACAGCCAGUGAUGUCAAAAGAGCUUCUCUGCAAGUUUCCAGACAACUCUGCUUUCGAUUUUGACUACACUCAGAGUUCAAUAUGGUCCCCUUUGGUCCCUCGAGCUCAUGCUCCCAUGGAUUUGGACUUGGAUUUCGAUUUCAUGACGCCAAGGAAGCUCAAUUUCGAGAUGGGGUUGGAGUUGGAAAGUCAAAGCAGCAUCAAGAAAGUCAGUUCUAGUAUUAAGAAGAAGAUCUCCACCGCUGGAUUUAAUAUUAGCAGGAGUGCGUUGAAGAACAAGAAGAAGAAGAAGAAGAAGAAGAAGAGCAAGAUGGCAUUGGCUUCUGAUUUCUCUCCAACUCCUGUUAAGGUUCAUUGUAACCCCUUAGCCUCAAAGGUACUGCCUUUUUCAUCUGGGUUCUUAGAUCUUUCUUUUUUAUUUAUUUAUUUUAUAUACAUAUUUUUAUAAGCUGAAAGAAUCUGGGUUAGAGCACAAGGUUUAGAUCACUGAAUCUGAGAUUACCCUUUUGAGAUUUUCUCUGAAAAUGAUCUCAAUUUACAAGCUAUUUGAAGUAAAAAUAUGAAAUUUUUGGGGAAAGAGAUGAGAAUUUAAGGCAACCCAUAAAGAUGCAGUUGUUAGCAUCAAAGUUUUGGGAAUUUGUUUUCUGCUUUAGCGCCAAUUUCUCUGUUUUGCAGGGGAAGAACUUAGAACUAAAAUCAAUCUGGUGACUGGAUUUCUAACAUAUGAAGGUUCUGUCAUUUGUGUUCAGGUAUGGAAUAAGGUGCUAAAAGCUGCCUCUAAACAUUUCAAGAAAAAGAAGAGAGAUCCCAUGGACCAUGUGAGGCUCUCCAAUUAUCUGAGAGAUGGAAAUAUUUGAAGGCUUCCCCCAUUUGUAAUUCUUUUUUGUUUCAUUAAUUUAUUUAUUCAUUUAAUUGUCUUUUUAACCUGCAUUCUCAUUAACAGCAACAUUAUUAGCAUUUGGAGUUAAACAUUCCUCCAAAACAUUUAUGCCACUUAGAAAGAGAUUUAGUUAGAGCGGAUGUAUUUUGCACUUGGGUUUAAAUCCCUAAUUACAGAUUAGAUUAAAGUAGAACGUAAGAUUUACUCAAGCAAAGCAAACCACGCAUUCAUAAAAGUCUGCACUAAAAUUGUGACCCUGCACACAAAAUCAACUGCUUUAAUUAGAACUUGCCAACAUAACCUCAAUCAAGCUUUCAAAUGAAGCAGAUGAAGACCCCCCAUUACCAACAGCCCUCCUACACGCUCCACUCAUCUCCUGCACCUUCUUCCUCAGCUCAUCAUUACCGUCCAUCACACACCUCACAGCCCUCUCAAUCUCAUCAGCCACCACAAAAUGAUCUACACCGUCCUUUCUGUAGUUCAAUCUCAGCUCCACAGCCAGCCCCAAGUCCCUCACCAUCUGAAACGCAUUGAUCUGCUGCUCCGCAUACAGAGGCCAAGUCACAACAGGCACCCCAUGCCACAGGCUCUCCAUUAUUGAGUUCCAACCACAGUGUGACACGAAGCCCCCCACCGCCCUGUGGGCCAGGAUCUCCACCUGUGGGGCCCACCCACAUAAAAUCCCGACCCCACUGGUCCUCUCCAAGAACCCUUGAGGCAGAAACUCCUCGUGACUUGUGUGCUCCUCUAGCACCACAAACUUGCCCUUGGGCGGGUCUUUGCGCACGGACCACACGAACCUCUGCUUACUCUGCUCUAAGCCAAUAGCAAUCUCUCUCAGCUGGGCCUCAUCAAAGCUCCCAGAGCUCCCAAAGCAGAGGAACACCACUGAUCUUAAAGGCUGAUCGUCAAGCCACAUCAUGACUUUGUCAAAUUUGCUCUGAUGAUCAGAAUGCUGCGCAGGAUGCUCGCCUAUCAGGGGCCCAACUGUGUAAACAGGAGGGGUUUCACCAUCCGAAAGUGAGCCAACCGCAUGGGAUUCGAGCUGAAAAAUUGUGUUAACGAUUAUACCCUUCGUUUCCUUGAACCUCCUGGCAUGGUUUGCGAAGGAAAUGUACCCUUCGCUGCUGAAAGCAAAUGAAGGAAUUACGCUUGCAGGAACAGGGUUGACAUAACUCGGUACCACUGACUCGGAGUCCGAUUCUUUAAACACCGUGCCGACUCGGUCGUAGCGGCUCGAAAGGUGGAGCAGGAAGCCGAGAAAGCCAGCACCAGAAGUGAAGAACAGAAAUGAUGGAACCUUGAGUUCGUUGGCCACGUCGAUCAUGGUGGUGCAGAACAUAUCAACCACUAAACCAGAAACAGAGCAACUGGGCAAGACAUGGCUGGCUAUGGCUUCUCUCACAUGGUUCUUGUAGCCCUCUAUGUAGACUGUGAUGUAUUUUUCCACAGACUGUUGAAGAAACUCAAGUGGGCGGUUCACAGUGGGAAGGUCUAUGAUUUUGAUGUGGCCGUGGGAGACAGCAAGCGAUUGUGCGCUGGUGUUUGAGUUCAGAGUAGCAGAGGGUUCAAAUGGAGGUUUCAUGACCAGGAUUGUGAUUGAGAAUCGAUCACAGACAUCCAAUAAUCGUUUCGAAAACUCUAUUGCUGAUACAAGAUGGCCAACGGCCGGUGUGGGAACGAAAACCAGCUCUGCUCUCUUCAUGUUUUGUGCUGCUUUGUUUGCUCACUCUGUUGCUUUCUUGAUGGUGCAUGUUUGACAUAUAUUGAGAGCACUUGAGGUGGAUGAAGGAUGAUUGACGUCUUUCAAUUUUAUGUGGUGUAGGCCAACUCUGAGAAUAUAAAAAAAUUCCUUGUCAAAAAACAGAAGAGAGAGAGAGAGAAAUUCCCAAUGAUAAUGAGGCAUGUAAUGUGGGCUCACCGAAUCUAAGAUGAUUGUUUAAUGAAGGGAUCCGAGGUGGAUAAUGAGGCAAUCGGUCAAACUAAUCAAUUGCAUUCAUCAAUGAUAAUGAGGCAUGUAAUGUUGUCAAACUAAUAACAUUCUUCCUACUUAUCCACCACGGUGUCUUGUUAAUUAGAUGAUUGGUUUGGUUGUGUGGUGUUGUUUAAUUUAAGUCAUCGCAUUCAUCAAGCACAAGUAGUCACGAGAUUGAUUCGUGGUCCAUAAAACGCAGCCACCACCAAAGGAUGUGAUUGAUGACAUUAAUGUGAUUUGCUCAUAGUUUAUAAAACGGACUGUGCUUUUCAAUUUUUAAAAAAAUCACUUAUAAUCUCAAAAAAACAAUAAUAAAGUAGGCAUUUUGAACGAAAAUACCGCAAAAUUGCAUUUACCGAUCGCAUUUUAACCUCAUAAUUGACAUCGUCAAAACCCACCACAAAAUUAAAUAUUAUAUUUAAAAUAUAUAAUAUACAAUUCAAGAAUUAAAAAAAAUAAAAAAGAUAGCCAUUUGUUGGGCAUGCCAACACUCAUGCAUUGCUUAUGCGCCAAACCAAAGCCUGUUUUUUUCUUUAUUUUUUUAUUUUUUAUUUUUUACUUCUUUUUCUUCUCCCUCUCUCUAUUUUUUUCGAUCUCUCUUUUCUUUCUUUUUCCUUCUCCUCUUCUUUUCUCUUUCUAUUUUUCCUACUUCUUCCUCUCUCCGUCGCUUUCCAUCUCUCAUCUCUAACUUCUUCUCUACCUCUAUCUUUCUUUCUUUCUUCCUCUUUCUUCCUCUCUAUGUCUGUUUCCAUCUCUUCUCUCCCUCUUUCUUUUUUUUUAGGCCUAGUUAGGGUGGUGGAUUUUCUGGGAUUGCUUGGAUUGUUUAGGCCCAAAACAACACAAUCGGUGGAUACCGUUGUGGACAUUGACCGAUUUGCGAUUCCACCGAGUUGCGAUUAACCUCAACUCUUUGGCUGGUUUGCGAUCUCAAAUAAUGCAAUACCGCGAUUUCUCGGGCGGUUUGCGAUUUACAUGAAAUUUUGAGGUUACAGUACCACAUCCACCCCUAAGUUAGUUUUGGGGGAGAGAAAGAGAGAUCGAGAGAGAUCAUCUUCUUCUUUGGUCCAAGCUACUUUUUCUCAGCAAGGAGAUCUUCCCAUUUAAUUAAAAACUAAAUCUUUUUAUGAAAAAAAGUAGAAGAAAAAGUAGAAGAAGUAGCUACUAAAGGUGUUGUUCUUCUAGUUGUUUAUAUUCUUUGUUAUGUUGUGGAAAUUAGAAGGAAGAAGGAUAAAGGAGCGGAGAGCGACUGGGGAAGUCGCUUGGGCUGGUGUUGCUAGGGAGAGUUGGAUCUGAGUAGGGUUUUUUUUUUUUGUUUUUUGUUUUGUUUUUUUAUAUUUUUUUUAUAUAUAAUUUUAUUUUUAAAGCAUAGAGAAGAAAGAUUUUUUAUUAUUAAUUUUUCCAAUAUAUAUAUAUAAUUAAACAAGUAAUUACAUUAUUUUAUUAUAUAUUUAAUUCAGUUUAAACAAAAAAAAAAGGGUCAUUCACAUGACACAUCAUCACUUGUUGUAAAAAGAUUAAAAUACCCAUGUCACGUCAUCAAAAUUAACAGAGUUAUAAUAGAGAUAACGGAAGGGGAUAAAGUGGAACACGAAAUCACGAUCAAGGGGGGUUAAGUAGGUCAUUUUAAUUUGGGAAGAUAAAAUGAGAUUUGACCGAAGUUUCAGGGAGUACUGCAAUAAAUAGGCCAUUCUCUUAAGCAAAAUAUAAUUCUUUAUUUUUUUUCUUUUUGAAAACAUAAUCUAUAUAUAGAAAUCAAAAGGCAGAGAAUGGUGAAACAUUCAAAAUACCAGAAAAUGCCCUUGGUUAAUGCAAACAUUAAGAAUUCAAAUUAUUAAUUAAAUGAGGAUAAUAUGGUAAAUUCACACUUUUUCAUAUUUAAAAAAAUUAAAAGAAAAAGAAAAAACAGAUAAUAGAUCCUAUUUUUAUGGAACACAAC